GAGUUUGAUCGUGGCUCAGAGUGAACGCUGGCGGCAGGCCUAACACAUGCAAGUCGAACGGCAGCGCAGCAGUAGCAAUACUGUGGGCGGCGAGUGGCGGACGGGUGAGGAAUACAUCGGAAUCUACCUUGUCGUGGGGGAUAACGUAGGGAAACUUACGCUAAUACCGCAUACGAACUACGGUUGAAAGCGGCGGACCGCAAGGCGUCGCGCGAUUGGAUGAGCCGAUGUCCGAUUAGCUAGUUGGCGGGGUAAAGGCCCACCAAGGCGACGAUCGGUAGCUGGUCUGAGAGGAUGAUCAGCCACACUGGAACUGAGACACGGUCCAGACUCCUACGGGAGGCAGCAGUGGGGAAUAUUGGACAAUGGGCGCAAGCCUGAUCCAGCCAUGCCGCGUGUGUGAAGAAGGCCUCGGUUGUAAG
Molecule: ribosomal RNA, 422 nt
Filed under: uncultured Gammaproteobacteria bacterium
Lineage: Bacteria; Pseudomonadati; Pseudomonadota; Gammaproteobacteria
Description: bacterial SSU rRNA
Rfam family: Bacterial small subunit ribosomal RNA
Source: RNAcentral